AACCAUAGAAACCUGCGGAGUACCUGCGGAAGGAUCAUUACAGAGUUGCAAAACUCCCUAAACCAUUGUGAACGUUACCUAAACCGUUGCUUCGGCGGGCGGCCCGGGUCCUUCCCGGCGCCCAUCGGCCCUCGCGGGCGCCCGCCAGAGGUAAACCAAACUAUUGCAUUGUAUGGCCUCUCUGAGUCUUCUGUACUGAAUAAGUCAAAACUUUCAACAACGGAUCUCAGAUCGGAAGAG
RNAcentral lists this unclassified non-coding RNA (240 nucleotides) under soil metagenome. RNAcentral's name for it is "partial contains 5.8S ribosomal RNA, internal transcribed spacer 2, and large subunit ribosomal RNA". The record is from RNAcentral.